RNAcentral lists this ribosomal RNA (779 nucleotides) under uncultured Neocallimastigales. Its description in RNAcentral is "partial large subunit ribosomal RNA". It matches the Rfam family "Eukaryotic large subunit ribosomal RNA", at positions 23 to 639 of the family's 3401-position model. The record is from RNAcentral. Lineage: Eukaryota; Fungi; Neocallimastigomycota; Neocallimastigomycetes; Neocallimastigales.
AGAGAGAGACAUGCGCGCAUAUCAAUAAGCGGAGGAAAAGAAACUAACAAGGAUUCCCUUAGUAACGGCGAGUGAAGCGGGAAGAGCUCAAAUUUGAAAUCUUCAAGGUUUUACCUUGACGAAUUGUAGUUUAAAGAAGUGUUUUCUGCUGAAGUUUUGGUAAAAGUUCUUUGGAAUAGGACAUCAUAGAGGGUGAGAAUCCCGUAUUUGACCAUUAUUUUCAGCUUUGUAAUACACUUUCAAAGAGUCGGAUUGUUUGGGAAUGCAGUCCAAAAUGGGUGGUAAAUUUCAUCUAAAGCUAAAUAUUGGCGAGAGACCGAUAGCGAACAAGUACCGUGAGGGAAAGAUGAAAAGAACUUUGAAAAGAGAGUUAAACAGUACGUGAAAUUGUCCAAAAGGGAAGCGUUUGACACCAGUGUUGUUUUCCUCGAAAAUCAAUUAAAAAUGGCUCGAUUUUGUAUUGUUGAGACCUUAAAAGCUCACUGUACAUUCUUUCGUGUCUUUUUUAAUGCACUUUUCGUUUAACAAGUCAACAUCAGUUUCUUUUGUUGUAAAAGGGUCAUUGGAAGGUGGCUUUCUUUUCGGAGAAAGUGUUUUAUAGCCUUUGGCCUCUGCAAUCGGAAGAGACUGAGGUCUGCAGCGUAGACUCUUCGGGGUUAGAUACAUUUGUGCUAAGUUAUAGCUUUUUAUAGACAACUUGUUGACUAUAAUUAGUCUUGUAGCUUACUCGCUUAUGCUAUUUUACCUACGCUUAGGAUGUUGAAGAUGUAGCACAUCAU